Molecule: ribosomal RNA, 253 nt
Filed under: uncultured bacterium
Lineage: Bacteria
Description: partial 16S ribosomal RNA
Rfam family: Bacterial small subunit ribosomal RNA
Source: RNAcentral
UACGUAGGUGGCAAGCGUUGUCCGGAUUUAUUGGGUUUAAAGGGUGCGUAGGUGGUCAAUUAAGUCAGUGCUGAAAUAUCCCGGCUUAACCGGGAGGGUGGCAUUGAUACUGAAUGACUUGAGUGGAGUUGAGGUAGGCGGAAUUGACGGUGUAGCGGUGAAAUGCUUAGAUAUCGUCAAGAACACCGAUAGCGAAGGCAGCUUACCAAGCUCUAACUGACACUGAUGCACGAAAGUGUGGGGAUCAAACAGG